GUUAUGGUCCAGCAGCCGCGUUAAUACGUAGGUGGCAAGCGUUGUCCGGAAUUAUUGGGCGUAAAGCGCGCGCAGGCGGUCCUUUAAGUCUGAUGUGAAAGCCCACGGCUUAACCGUGGAGGGUCAUUGGAAACUGGAGGACUUGAGUGCAGAAGAGGAAAGUGGAAUUCCAUGUGUAGCGGUGAAAUGCGUAGAGAUCAGGAAGAACAUCGGUGGCGAAGGCGCUCUGCUGGACCAUAAC
This 241-nucleotide ribosomal RNA is filed under the name uncultured bacterium. RNAcentral describes it as "partial 16S ribosomal RNA". It matches the Rfam family "Bacterial small subunit ribosomal RNA", at positions 500 to 740 of the family's 1533-position model. The record is from RNAcentral.